Molecule: unclassified non-coding RNA, 184 nt
Filed under: uncultured Talaromyces
Lineage: Eukaryota; Fungi; Ascomycota; Eurotiomycetes; Eurotiales; Trichocomaceae
Description: sequence contains ITS1
Source: RNAcentral
CCGAGUGCGGACCCCUCGCGGGUCCAACCUCCCACCCGUGUCUCUUGUAUACCCUGUUGCUUUGGCGGGCCCACCGGGGCCACCCCGGUCGCCGGGGGGCGUGUUCGCCCCUUGGCCCGCGCCCGCCAGAGCGCUCUGUGAACCCUUAUGAAGAUGGACUGUCUGAGUGUCUUGAUAAUAAUCA